Molecule: long non-coding RNA, 556 nt
Filed under: Vombatus ursinus (common wombat)
Lineage: Eukaryota; Metazoa; Chordata; Mammalia; Diprotodontia; Vombatidae
Description: lncRNA (ENSVURG00010024532.1)
Source: RNAcentral
GGCCAGCCGGCGCUGACCGUCCACUUGCAGAGCACUCCCUCUGGACAGAAGCCGAGAGGGCUGAGCUCCGAUGGACCGCUGCAGGCGGACGCUCUCCCCGGCGGCGCCGAUCAAAGCCGCAUCCGCUCGCCUGGCCUGAGUGAGCGAGCGCUUUUCCACACCCCGCACCAGAAGGGGGUCUGAGACCAGCACCGUGCUAUGCUCAGGAGGCUGCGUGCUUCUGGCCCUCAGCGCCCUGCUGGCGGUCGUCUCUGUCUUCCUCCCCAGUGGGCUCUUGGAGAGGCGAGUCUGUGCCCUGGCCGGAUACAUGCAGAUGGCAGCAGGAGCACCAAGGGCAGGUGGAGUCCGAGCCCCCACCAGUGGUCUCAGCAGCGAGAGGAACCUUACGUAGCAACACCCUGUGGAAGCCAGAAUGGAUUUGAAGGGAGGUAAGCUGAGGUUGGAAGACCAUUGAACUGACCAGAUGAAGGGAAAGGGUCCGGUGGCAGAACUGACAACUCUGAGAGGGCUGAGUAGGGUAAAGGUUCUCGGGAGACACCCGGGGCCUACUUUGGGG